GUGCCAGCAGCCGCGGUAAGACGAACCGUGCGAACGUUGUUCGGAAUCAUUGGGCUUAAAGGGCGCGUAGGCGGGCUGGCCAGUCCGGGGUGAAAGCCCACGGCUCAACCGUGGAAGUGCCUUGGAUACUGCCAGUCUUGAGGGAGGUAGGGGCGUGCGGAACUUCCGGUGGAGCGGUGAAAUGCGUAGAUAUCGGAAGGAACACCGGUGGCGAAAGCGGCGCGCUGGACCUCUUCUGACGCUGAGGCGCGAAAGCCAGGGGAGCAAACGGGAUUAGAUACCCUGGUAGUCC
RNAcentral lists this ribosomal RNA (292 nucleotides) under uncultured bacterium. Its description in RNAcentral is "partial 16S ribosomal RNA". It matches the Rfam family "Bacterial small subunit ribosomal RNA", at positions 505 to 796 of the family's 1533-position model. The record is from RNAcentral.